Molecule: transfer RNA, 73 nt
Filed under: Scorpaenodes scaber (pygmy scorpionfish)
Lineage: Eukaryota; Metazoa; Chordata; Actinopteri; Perciformes; Scorpaenidae
Description: tRNA-Val
Rfam family: tRNA
About the family: Transfer RNA (tRNA) molecules are approximately 80 nucleotides in length.
Source: RNAcentral
CAGGACGUAGUUCAAAUCAGCAGAACAGUUCCCUUACACUGAGAAAGUACCCGUGCGAAUCGAGUCGCCCUGA